CAAAAACCAAGAUUGUGACAACCAAAAUGCCGGACUUGAGGGUUACGUCAGGGUUCCGUCUUCCAUACACCGGUGCGUGACCCAGACCUGACCUGUGCUGAUGUCAAUGGAUGCUCGCCAUAGAAAACACACACAGACGUGAGUUCAUCAUUGGAAACUCCAGCGUUGCUGCUUCGAGGUAAAAAUCUCUUCUGAUCCAGCCAGAAUAUGAAUGAGGUCAAAUGCAUAUGGUACGGAGACGGCAGCCAAACACGCAGAGCUAUAGUGUGUAAAAUCCCUGGCAGCGUUGCGUCCUGGAGGCAGCGCUCCCACACAACAGACGGGACUCCCACCACACAGCCUGCAGGGUGGAGCUGUCUCACUGAAACAAAAAAAAAACACUGCCAGCAACACGCAGAGAGUCCAAUCACUCUGUCACAGAGGGGCGAGAUGAUGCACAACGCUGCUGUUUUCCCAUUAUUUGUAAAAAAAAAAAUUAACGGCGGAAGUAGCCUGAAGGCUGAGGGAUGAGGCCUCGCUUCCAGAAGGGUGUCUGCUCACACUCGGAAAAAGAUAGAAAAUGUGGUGCAUUAUCAAGCCUGUAGGGAAAUCUACUUUACCCCUCUUCCUUCUCAUAAGGUUCUGGAUGAAUGCCUCAAUAAGUAUACGUGCAUUAUUCACAGAUAAUGAGGGGAAAGCCGCUCACUAGAAAUAAGCAGCACUGGGGUUCACUGGGUUUAUUGGUUUCCCAAAUUUGAUUGCUCCUAAACAGAAACCUCUAUAUGUGUGUAACUCGAUCACUACCUGCUCGUAAUGUUCAGCUAAUACGGAGCCUGAGGGCUCAUUCUCUGUAGGAAUUGAGUGAUUUAAGGAAAGGUGAUAAGAAGUAGUGUUGCUGCAUCACCUUGGGAUAAAAUUGGAGAUACAGGAGCCUUGACGGGUCCUUUAUUGUGCUCUGACCCAGCAGAAACAUUUUUUAUUAAAACUGCCACUUCCAGCAUAUUGUUUAAAGUGUGUGGUGUAGGGAAUAUAUUAAAGAGUAAAUUAUUCCUCUUUGUUGUAAGUAGUGCAACACGAGUGCUUCAAAUUUAUCAGUAGCAUUACAGGUGAUUUUAAAGGAAAGCAAG
Molecule: long non-coding RNA, 1106 nt
Organism: Sebastes umbrosus (honeycomb rockfish)
Lineage: Eukaryota; Metazoa; Chordata; Actinopteri; Perciformes; Sebastidae
Exons: 3
Source: RefSeq, a predicted model, not a curated record